GACGAACUGUCCUAACGUUGUUCGGAAUCACUGGGCUUAAAGGGCGCGUAGGCGGUCGACCAAGUCAGGGGUGAAAGCCCGGAGCUCAACUCCGGAACUGCCAUUGAAACUGUUAGACUUGAGGAUGAGAGAGGUGAGUGGAAUUCCCAGUGUAGAGGUGAAAUUCGUAGAUAUUGGGAAGAACACCGGUGGCGAAGGCGGCUCACUGGCUCAUUUCUGACGCUCAGGCGCGACAGCGUGGGGAUCAAACAGG
This 253-nucleotide ribosomal RNA is filed under the name uncultured bacterium. RNAcentral describes it as "partial 16S ribosomal RNA". It matches the Rfam family "Bacterial small subunit ribosomal RNA", at positions 524 to 776 of the family's 1533-position model. The record is from RNAcentral.